This 90-nucleotide non-coding RNA is filed under the name uncultured Leucobacter sp. Its description in RNAcentral is "Glycine riboswitch". It matches the Rfam family "Glycine riboswitch aptamer". From Rfam's summary of the family: This family represents the bacterial glycine riboswitch. The record is from RNAcentral. Lineage: Bacteria; Bacillati; Actinomycetota; Actinomycetes; Micrococcales; Microbacteriaceae.
CGACUCUGGAAAGCAGCGGGCACGCCCGCUCACCGAAGGUGCAAGGGCAUACGCCGCCCGAAUCUCUCAGGUCACGGUACAGAGCGGGGA